UAUAUAUUCUCAAUUAUUUUUCUGUGCCUGCUUCGCAAGAAUAGAUUGUAUAUUCAACACACUUCACAGUACCAAAAUUUGAGGCUGAGGCUGUACCCAUAGACUCGACAUGCUUAACUCCCAAUAGGAAAAAGAAGAAGAAUAGUAACAACAUGAACAAAAGGAGGUUUAGUGAUGAACAAAUUAAAACACUGGAGGCAAUAUAUUAUUUGACUGAAUCGAAGUUGAAUUCGAGGCAGGUGAUCAAGCUAGCAACUAAGUUGGGCCUGCAACCUCAACAGAUUACUAUAUGGUUUCAGAACAAAAGAGCAAGAUGGAAGUCCAAAGAGAAGCAGGAGAAUUUCAAAAGCCUAAGAGCUAAGUGUGAUGAUCUAGCAUCUCAGUUUGAAACGUUACAGGAAGAGAACAACUCCUUGCUCUCACAGGUAUUUGAAACAGUUGCAGAAGCUAACCGUUCUUCAAGGACCUUGUGAGGGCGCUAUCAUUCGAAUGACAUUGAAAAAAACAACUCAUGAAACUCAUGAAAAGCCAAAAACCUUACCACAUGCAUUGGAACAGAUGUAUUCGAACGAUAACUAUAACACAAAAUGUUUAGUGAUUGGAGAAGGUGAACUUCAAAUGACCCAUUUGUUGGAAGGCAGAAGCGACCGCAUAUGCCACAUUGAGAAGCAACUUUUGAACCCAAAUGGAUCCUUUGAAACAUCUGACACAUGGUGCAUUUUUUAUGCCGAUGGUGGUGUCUAUGAAUAUCAGUCGUGUAGCAGUUUGCAGGGACAGAGUUUCUGGGGAUAAAGAAAGAUAAGAUGACCCAUAAUUUCAUGACUUAUUACUACCAGCUGAAAAAUUGCCAUUUAGACAACAGAUAUGAACAAAACUGAGUAACUGCCAACUGCUGCUAGCUGUUUUAGCAAGUACAUUCCUUCCUUAUCCUUGUGCAAUUUACGAAAAGAAGAGACAUAGGAACUGUAUUACUUUGAAAUGCAUUAGUAGCAUCCAAGAAGUAACGCAGACAGCUCAAUCAAUCGACCUUUAUAGGUAAUGCACACACAAUUGCUGAACUUCAUUUCCUUUCUGGGGGUGCCUCUUGUUAUGACUUCUGAGCAACAUCUGUUAACUAAGAUCAGUAGUUGAUCAACAAGUUAAAAAAAAGUAUAUUUUAUAUGAUCUUUUAAGUUAACCUUCAUAAAGUAGUUAUUACAUAUUCAAAGAGUUGUCAAAUUUUUAUUCGAAAUUCUUGUUAUUAUAUUUAAGUAUUUUGCGUUAUUUUUAAUAUGGGUUGAUAAGUAAAGAACCAAAAAUCGGAAAUAAGAAGCUGAAUAUUUGUACUCAGUUCAAAAACAAAACAUGCCAUUACACGAGAAUGUUAAAAAGUAAAAAA
This is an RNA transcript of Cucumis sativus (cucumber), 1378 nucleotides long. It is a transcript of the gene named homeobox-leucine zipper protein ATHB-7-like, with no coding region annotated. Lineage: Eukaryota; Viridiplantae; Streptophyta; Magnoliopsida; Cucurbitales; Cucurbitaceae. The record is from RefSeq and is a predicted model, not a curated record. The transcript has 2 exons.